RNAcentral lists this ribosomal RNA (849 nucleotides) under uncultured Bacteroidota bacterium. Its description in RNAcentral is "bacterial SSU rRNA". It matches the Rfam family "Bacterial small subunit ribosomal RNA", at positions 55 to 895 of the family's 1533-position model. The record is from RNAcentral. Lineage: Bacteria; Pseudomonadati; Bacteroidota.
AUGCAAGUCGAGGGGAAACGGCAUUAAGUGCUUGCACUUUUUGGACGUCGACCGGCGCACGGGUGAGUAACGCGUAUCCAACCUUCCCAUGACUAAGGGAUAACCUGCCGAAAGGCAGACUAAUACCUUAUGGUCUUCACUGACGGCAUCAGAUGUGAAGUAAAGAUUUAUCGGUUAUGGAUGGGGAUGCGUCUGAAUAGCUUGUUGGCGGGGUAACGGCCCACCAAGGCAACGAUCAGUAGGGGUUCUGAGAGGAAGGUCCCCCACCAUUGGAACUGAGACACGGUCCAAACUCCUACGGGAGGCAGCAGUGAGGAAUAUUGGUCAAUGGGCGAGAGCCUGAACCAGCCAAGUAGCGUGCAGGAAGACGGCCCUAUGGGUUGUAAACUGCUUUUGUAUGGGGAUAAAGUCAGUCACGUGUGAUUGUUUGCAGGUACCAUACGAAUGAGGACCGGCUAAUUCCGUGCCAGCAGCCGCGGUAAUACGGAAGGUCCGGGCGUUAUCCGGAUUUAUUGGGUUUAAAGGGAGCGUAGGCUGGAGAUUAAGUGUGUUGUGAAAUGUAGACGCUCAACGUCUGACUUGCAGCGCAUACUGGUUUCCUUGAGUACGCACAACGUUGGCGGAAUUCGUCGUGUAGCGGUGAAAUGCUUAGAUAUGACGAAGAACUCCGAUUGCGAAGGCAGCUGACGGGAGCGCAACUGACGCUGAAGCUCGAAGGUGCGGGUAUCGAACAGGAUUAGAUACCCUGGUAGUCCGCACAGUAAACGAUGGAUGCCCGCUGUUGGUACCUGGUAUCAGCGGCUAAGCGAAAGCAUUAAGCAUCCCACCUGGGAGUACGCCGGCAACGGU